This is a long non-coding RNA of Drosophila yakuba, 3442 nucleotides long. RefSeq lists it as uncharacterized. NCBI's taxonomy places the organism in Eukaryota, Metazoa, Arthropoda, Insecta, Diptera, Drosophilidae. The record is from RefSeq and is a predicted model, not a curated record. The transcript is spliced from 2 exons.
AUCCAAACAAUUUAUCAGCAAUAUUAAAGGAACAAUAGCAAGGCCAGCAACAUUAGUUAGCUAAAUGGUAUCAACAACUCCAGCAAGGGCAACAUCAGCAACAGUAACGUGGGCAAGAGCAACAUAAGCAACAUCAGUAACAGCAGGAAUAGGAACAAUAGCAGCAUUAACAGAAACUGCAGCUUCAGCAGCAAAGUAAUAGUGCCAACAGUAGCAACAGCAACAUAAGAAACAAAAGCAACAUAAACAGCUUCAACUGUAAUAUCAACAUUAAACAGCCCUAGCAGCAUCAGCAACAUUAAGAACAACAUUAAGAACCACAUUACGCAGCAAUACUACAGCCACAAGACAAUACCAAUGCUUUAAUAGACUAACAAAGUAACAACAGCAACACAUAAAAUGAAAACCAACAACACUUUUAAAUAACAUUAUGGCCAAACAGCAGCAACAAUAGUUGCUACAAUAACAGCAGAUACAAUAGUUGCUACCAUAACAGCAGCAACAUUGUGUCUAAGUAGUAGCCCUCUUUUGGCAGUGUCUGUACACUGAGAAAACUGUGGCUAAUUCAUUUGUAAAAAAACGAAAUAUAUUUCUAUUGAGCAAGUGUAACAAUUAACCUGCUCAAUUCCAUUUAGUUUUUUCGAUUUAUAUUUUACUAGUGCACCCAUCAGUCGCAUUAUUGUUGGGUACGCGGCUAGAAUUUAUCAUUAGUUUACUCGAUGUACAAGCAUACAAAAACUAUAUUUGUAUAUGGGAUUAUAUGCCAAAUAGAUUAACAAUUGUAAUCGCUGUUGUUGUAGCUGCUGCUGUUGUUGAUUUUGCCAAGCGAAUCGAAACACAACGAGCAAAACAAUAAGCUAACAGCAACUGUAGAGGCAGCGACAACGGACAACUCGGGUGUUGAUGUGUUUUCGAAAACAUUGCGUCAUUUCCAGAUGGCAAGCUUUAAGCCAAUUGCUCCCCCCCAGCACAGCACAGUACCCCAUCAUUCCCCCACAACCACGCCCCUGUGCAGCGAAAACACAGAGACCAAGUGGCAGACGAUCGAGUUGAGUUCGUAGAAAAACUGCGCCAAUUCUACGAACUGAACUUGGGGAUGUCGACGCGUCUAUCGGAAGGCAGCUGGCAGUGUGGAUACUGACACGUACACACAUAUGUACACACACACAUGCACAUAGUAUUCGUGCGGGGGGAAGGGGAAAGGGGUGGUGUGUGUGCCUGAACAUGAUUGAUAUUUGCCUGCCAUGAUUACUCGUAGUCACAGCCCGUCAAAAGUGGUGAUAAAACGACAAACACAGCUCGAGAUACUUAUCGUGUCGCGAAGGAAAUUACACAAAAGUUGUCGGCUGCAACUUACAGGAUCACACCUUUCUAUUAUCACAGUCUGAUUAUUGAUUCUUUAGCAAGUUUGGAUUGGUUUGCACUUGCCACUUUUGGUUGAACCUAUAAAAUACUUAUUAAUGCUUAAAAUGUUUAUAGACUAGUAGCAUGGCAUAUCUAUGCCACAUCCGCAAGUGGAACCUUUGGAACGAGCUACGAAGUGGAUGAGCUGAGCGUAAUCUGCAUUUGCAGACAGUUGGGCGACUUCUUGGAGCUGCAGCAGAAUGUUUUCCUGCGCUGGGGGAGAUAACUUACCACUGAAUGCUGAAUUGCUGUGGGGUAGGGCCAGUUGAAAGAUGAUGAUUAGAAACGACCUUAAAUAACCUAUGGAUUGUAUAGAGGAGCGCUGGUAUAGUAUCGUCUGGAAAGUGUGUUUGCCUUCGAAACGAAACUGAUUCGAGUGCAAAUAUUUACCAUGUGUUUGAGCUUUUCUUUGAUCACCUAAAAGCAGUAGGUGGUUGCUUUUCUUUUGGAGGCGGAUACCUACGUCAAUGCGGGAUCAAUGGGCUUAAGCACUGCCAUUGUAUUGCUCCAUUUAUCACUUUUAACACCAUAUAGUGCAAACAGACUGUUUGAGUUAUAAAAGGAACUAAUUUAUCACUUAUCGCUGUUCAAUGGGAAAAUGAAUACAGCGCAAAUACGAGCGAAAACCUGCGGCUUUUCACAAAUAUCACAAAGUACAUUUGCUCAUCACAAAUAAUAAAAUAAUCAAAUUCAAACAAAUUCAAUAAAAUUCAGUUAAUAGUCAAUAGUACGAUAAAGAUUCGUCAUUUGCCUAGCUGUGCAGUCAUGGACUAUUUAUAUUUAGCAGAAAUUUAAGUGUUGUUAAUUGUGAAUUAAUAACUAUUUAUCUAUUAGAUGUGAAAAACGAGUAUUCCAUUUGCGUCAUCGGUACCCAUCGGUACAUUCGCCCAAUUGCGUUAAUGAUUAAAAUCCAACCUUAGAGAGCCAUUAAAAAUUAGUAAAAUCAAACAAAGAUCGGAAGUCCAUUCCAUCAAGAACUAUCAACAAUAAUCACUUUUUCAAAGAACCAUUUGGAUAUUAUCAUUUAUUCAAGGCAAUAAUAGCGCAGCGUAAACAAAAUGCCCUAAAAAAGUGAAAAUUUGCUUAGGGCAAUCCAUAAAAGAUAAAUUAGUUAUUAUCUUCUUUUUUUUUGUUUUUGUAUAUUUUUGAAUUGUUUAUUUAGCAAUUAAUGUUUGCUUUGUGGCCCCUCCUUUAAAUUGCCUAGUUCUUUGAUACAGUUGAGAGCGUUUGUGAUUUAUGGACGAGACCCUCGACGCGCAUGCGAGUGUAAAUGUGAGUGUGGAUGUGAAUACGACUAUGAAUAUGAAUAAUCGCACCGAAGGCGAACAACAAGCCUCAUUGUUCUGGGCGGUAGUUGCUCAAUAGGUCUGACAGUCGGCAAUACAAUUAGGCAAUACUCACAACACAAUCGAACCCUUUUACAUGAUGGACUUGCCAAGGAACUUGGAUCGUCAGAACUUAUACAUUACCCCAAUUUGUUGGUUUAUAAACAAAUAGAUUUCGUCCUCUUACUAUAUUAAUUUAUCUGUUAUUUAUUAACCAAUGCCAUGUAAAAAAUCAUCAAAUUGAUCAACACAGAGCACCCAUUACUCUAUGAAUAAAAUUUCAUUUUAAUGAAAAAUCCCAGGAGUGAUAAAUAAAAUUCCUUUGUGUCAUUUUCAAAAUGAAAUUCAACAUUUCUGCAUUUUUAUUUGGAGCUCUUCGCUCGAUUCAAAUUAGUUAUGCAUAACAAAAAUUAAGAUUUGCACAUUUCAUGUUUCAUUGUUUUCUCCUUUCCAUUUCGCUUAUUUUGUUUUUUUUUUUCGACUAUUUACAGUAUUAAGUUUAUACAUAUGGAUUUGCAUAUGCGAUAAAAAGUUAAUUAAAUUUACAUGUUGUUACGGCUUCAUUUAUUUGCAUUACAUGUAGACACUUUUGCAAUCAAUUCGCGUUUGUUUGCUCUUUCCCUUUUAUGCAUAAGAUAACAAGGCUUAAUUGACUAAAAAAAAUAAAGGCACCUGAGUUCAAAGUGUUAUUGCCAAAUGUAAAUAUAAUAAAA